RNAcentral lists this long non-coding RNA (597 nucleotides) under Sparus aurata (gilthead seabream). RNAcentral's name for it is "lncRNA (ENSSAUG00010022282.1)". Lineage: Eukaryota; Metazoa; Chordata; Actinopteri; Spariformes; Sparidae. The record is from RNAcentral.
CGAGCGCGGAGCUGAGUGAACAAGAGGUUCAGCAGGAGCAAGUUGGUUAAGUGUAUCUGCACAGAGCUCAUCCAAGGAAUCUCUCUGAGCAAAAAAAAAAAAAAUAGAGCACCCACACACACACAAACACACACACAUACACACACACACGCACGCACUUCCACAGUGUACACUACAAAGCAAAGCCAGCGCUCUGAGUCAAGCCUCCAGUCUCCCUCUUCAUCUCCUCUUCUCACCACUCUCCUUCUCUUUUUUCGUCUCUUGCGCUCCAUCUGUGUCAGUGGAGGCUCUUACGGCUCAAUCAGGCUCGCAAAGACGCUCAGGAGCACCUGCUCUUUGUCUGCCGUCACCCUCGCUCAGAGAUCUCUGGGUGUGUGCCAGUUCUCAAACAGCAGUAAAACACCUGCCCAAGCAACAAGAAGUGGUAUGAGCCCCUAGCUGGUGCUGCGUCGUCGAGUUCUGGACAGACACGCCAAAUCUGAGACCAUGAAUUGAAGACUCUCCUCAAAGAAACUCCUCCAAACUAUCUGCACUACUGCUCAUUGGCUUUGUUGUGGUCGUACGUGACUGAGCCCACAUCCUGCCCUGCUGUUAUAU